UGGAGAGUUUGAUCCUGGCUCAGGACGAACGCUGGCGGCGUGCUUAACACAUGCAAGUCGAACGAUGAAGCCUGCAACUUGUUGUGGGUGGAUUAGUGGCGAACGGGUGAGUAAUACGUGGGUAACCUGCCCUCCUUUUUGGGAUAAGCCUUGGAAACGGGGUCUAAUACCGAAUAUUCUGGCGCUCUCGCAUGGGGGUGUUGGGAAAGCUUUAGUGUGAAGGGGGAUGGGCUCGCGGCCUAUCAGCUUGUUGGUGGGGUGAUGGCCUACCAAGGCGGUGACGGGUAGCCGGCCUGAGAGGGUGACCGGCCACAUUGGGACUGAGAUACGGCCCAGACUCCUACGGGAGGCAGCAGUGGGGGAUAUUGCACAAUGGGCGAAAGCCUGAUGCAGCGACGCCGCGUGGGGGAUGAAGGCUUUCGGGUUGUAAACCUCUUUCGCUAUCGAACAAGGCUCAUUUUUUGGUGGGUUGAGGGUAGGUGGAGAAGAAGCGCCGGCUAACUACGUGCCAGCAGCCGCGGUA
RNAcentral lists this ribosomal RNA (523 nucleotides) under Actinotignum schaalii. RNAcentral's name for it is "bacterial SSU rRNA". It matches the Rfam family "Bacterial small subunit ribosomal RNA", at positions 1 to 522 of the family's 1533-position model. The record is from RNAcentral. Lineage: Bacteria; Bacillati; Actinomycetota; Actinomycetes; Actinomycetales; Actinomycetaceae.